GAGAGAGACAUGCGCGCAUAUCAAUAAGCGGAGGAAAAGAAACUAACAAGGAUUCCCCUAGUAACGGCGAGUGAAGCGGGAAGAGCUCAAAUUUGAAAUCUUAAAGGGUUUCCCUUUACGAAUUGUAGUUUAAAGAAGUGUUUUCUGUUGGAGUUUUGGUAAAAGUUCUUUGGAAUAGGACAUCAUAGAGGGUGAGAAUCCCGUAUUUGACCAUUACUUUCAGCUUUGUGAUACACUUUCAAAGAGUCGGAUUGUUUGGGAAUGCAGUCCAAAAUGGGUGGUAAAUUUCAUCUAAAGCUAAAUAUUGGCGAGAGACCGAUAGCGAACAAGUACCGUGAGGGAAAGAUGAAAAGAACUUUGAAAAGAGAGUUAAACAGUACGUGAAAUUGUCAAAAGGGAAGCGUUUGACACCAGUGUUGUUUUUCUGAAAAUCAAUUAAAGAACUGUUUAUGCUAAGUUGUUUAGACUUUAUCAGCUAACUGUUUAGUUUUGAGCUUUUCUUUAAUGCACUUUUCAGUUAACAAGUCAACAUCAAUUUCUUUUGCUGUAAAAAAGCUUGAGGAAGGUGGCUUGAGAUUCGUCUUAAGUGUUUAUAGCCUCUUGCCUAUGCAGUCGGAGAGAUUGAGGUCUGCAGCGUAGAUCCUUCGGGGCUAAAUGCAUUUGUGCUAAGUUAUAGCAUUUUAUAGACAACUUGUUGACUAUGAUUUGUCUUGUAGCUUACUCGCUUAUGUUAUUUUACCUACGCUUAGGAUGUUGAGCGCAUGUCUCUCUCU
This 773-nucleotide ribosomal RNA is filed under the name uncultured Neocallimastigales. RNAcentral's name for it is "partial large subunit ribosomal RNA". It matches the Rfam family "Eukaryotic large subunit ribosomal RNA", at positions 23 to 616 of the family's 3401-position model. Lineage: Eukaryota; Fungi; Neocallimastigomycota; Neocallimastigomycetes; Neocallimastigales. The record is from RNAcentral.